This 1242-nucleotide long non-coding RNA is filed under the name Manihot esculenta (cassava). RNAcentral describes it as "long non-coding RNA (MESC_LNC000343)". The record is from RNAcentral. Lineage: Eukaryota; Viridiplantae; Streptophyta; Magnoliopsida; Malpighiales; Euphorbiaceae.
UUAGUAGCACACCAAUUGUUUAUUAAUCAUCAAAAUAAGGAUUAAAACAUUUAAGUUCAACACAUGCUUUUGUGUGUGUUGGUGUGAGUUGAGAGGUUUUGGGGUGGCUGGAUGUGCUUGUGAGGCUUGGGUUCUGCCCUUUGGAAGAGCCCAGGUUCGGCCGCCGAAGCCAGUUUCGACCACCAAACCUGCCUGGAGGCAACUUUAGGCCGCCUAAACUCGCCCCCAAAAGUUUGGACUUUUGGCUCUGGAGGGGAAUUUCAGCCGCCGAACUUGCCCCCGAAAGUGCCUGAGUUUCGGCUCUGGAAGCACUUUCGGCCGCCGAACCCUGCCCCCGAAAGUGCAUGACUUUUGGCUCUGGAGGGACCUUCGGCCGCCGAACCUGCCGCCGAAAGUCCCCUGUCCAGCCUUCCUUUGCCUGUUUUGCAUGCAUGUUUUAUGAUGUUUUAGGGGGUUUUGGGGAGAUGUUUAUAGUCGUGUUAGAGUAUGUUUGGUCCCUCAUUUGAGUCCACCUAUGUAGGAUCGGACCUGAGGAACCGAGGUGAUCAGCAGUGAGAUAGCUACUUCAGAGUUAGUUCAGAGUUAGCCAGAGGUGAGUAGAACUAAACUAAUCCUUUAUUUCAAGAAAGCAAAUGUUUUAAGCAUGUUCAUGCAUCAUGAUAUAUAAUAGGUUGUUGGCAUUAGAAUUCACGAAUAUGACGCAUUGCAUUAUUCAUUAUGGGUGUGGAUGGACAACAGGACGACCCAUUAGCCCUUUAGAUUUUAUGCUAUGUAACAGAAGUCCUGAGGAGCCCCACCGAGGGCCGGGCACAGAGCUUAUGUAUGUAACAGAAUUCUUGACGAGCUCCACUGCUCCACCGAGGGCCGAGCACAGAGUAGAGGGAUUUUUGGGUCAGUCCAUCUGUGAUGUGAAUUGUUUGUGCUGUGACGCAUUCAUAAAAGCAUAUGUUUAUUAUGAUGUUUUUAUAGUUCUGCUCAUUGGGCUGUUGUAGCUCACCCCUCUCCCCUAACCCGCAGGUUUGCAGGAGCUCAGGUAGUUAUGGGAAAGCCAGCAGAGUUAUGGCUAUGUUAUGUAAUAGAGUUAUAGUGAACAUGUAAUGUAAUGUAAUGUAAUAUAUUAUAAUGUAAAGAAAUGUAUUGAGAAUUAGUAUUGUGCUUGGCCCUAAUAUAUAGAAAUCCCUUUUUGUACAUGAUCUAUAUUGAAUGUUUUAAUAAUAAGAAAUGUUGAACCAAGCUUGAUGU